This 253-nucleotide ribosomal RNA is filed under the name uncultured bacterium. RNAcentral describes it as "partial 16S ribosomal RNA". It matches the Rfam family "Bacterial small subunit ribosomal RNA", at positions 524 to 776 of the family's 1533-position model. The record is from RNAcentral. RNAcentral also lists the same sequence under 1 other name.
UACAGAGGGGGCAAGCGUUGUUCGGAAUUACUGGGCGUAAAGGGCGCGUAGGCGGCCUGCUAAGUCGAACGUGAAAUCCCUGGGCUCAACCCAGGAACUGCGUCCGAUACUGGUUGGCUUGAAUCCGGGAGAGGGACGUGGAAUUCCAGGUGUAGCGGUGAAAUGCGUAGAUAUCUGGAGGAACACCGGUGGCGAAGGCGACGUCCUGGACCGGCAUUGACGCUGAGGCGCGAAAGCCAGGGGAGCAAACGGG